This 329-nucleotide ribosomal RNA is filed under the name uncultured cyanobacterium. RNAcentral describes it as "bacterial SSU rRNA". It matches the Rfam family "Bacterial small subunit ribosomal RNA", at positions 377 to 720 of the family's 1533-position model. The record is from RNAcentral. Lineage: Bacteria; Bacillati; Cyanobacteriota.
GCAAGCCUGACGGAGCAAUACCGCGUGAGGGAGGAAGGCUCUUGGGUCGUAAACCUCUUUUAUCAGGGAAGAAACAAAUGACGGUACCUGAUGAAUCAGCAUCGGCUAACUCCGUGCCAGCAGCCGCGGUAAUACGGAGGAUGCAAGCGUUAUCCGGAAUUAUUGGGCGUAAAGCGUCCGCAGGUGGUUUUGAAAGUUUGCUGUCAAAGCGCGGAGCUUAACUUCGUACCGGCAGUGAAAACUACGAGACUAGAGUUUGGUAGGGGUCACGGGAAUUCCCAGUGUAGCGGUGAAAUGCGUAGAGAUUGGGAAGAACACCAGCGGCGAAA